This 253-nucleotide ribosomal RNA is filed under the name uncultured bacterium. RNAcentral's name for it is "partial 16S ribosomal RNA". It matches the Rfam family "Bacterial small subunit ribosomal RNA", at positions 524 to 776 of the family's 1533-position model. The record is from RNAcentral.
UACGUAGGGGGCAAGCGUUGUCCGGAUUUACUGGGCGUAAAGAGCGUGUAGGCGGCCAAACAGGUCCGUUGUGAAAACUGGAGGCUUAACCUCCAGACGUCGACGGAAACCGUAUGGCUAGAGUCCGGAAGAGGAGAGUGGAAUUCCUGGUGUAGCGGUGAAAUGCGCAGAUAUCAGGAAGAACACCAAUGGCGAAGGCAGCUCUCUGGGACGGUACUGACGCUCAUGUACGAAAGCGUGGGGAGCAAACAGG